GAUGAAGAACGUAGUGAAAUGCGAUAAGUAAUGUGAAUUGCAGAAUUCAGUGAAUCAUCGAAUCUUUGAACGCAUCUUGCGCUCCUUGGUAUUCUGAGGAGCAUGCCUGUUUGAGUGUCAUUAAAUUCUCAACUACACUGACUUUGAAUUGGUGUGGCUUGGAUUUGGGGGGAAAAUUGUUGUGGGCUUUUUGUAUAGUCUGCUCCCCUGAAAUUGAUUAGCGGUACCUUUGUGGAACUGUCUACAGGUGUGAUAAUUAUCUACAUCUUAGACAUCUGCUGGAAUGCUGCUUUCUAAACCUUACUUGUAUUGACAAUCUUGACCUCAAAUCAGGUAGGACUACCCGCUGAACUUAAGCAUAACAAUAAGCGGAGGA
RNAcentral lists this unclassified non-coding RNA (376 nucleotides) under soil metagenome. RNAcentral's name for it is "partial contains 5.8S ribosomal RNA, internal transcribed spacer 2, and large subunit ribosomal RNA". The stretch from base 1 to 120 matches the Rfam family "5.8S ribosomal RNA", at positions 35 to 154 of the family's 154-position model. The record is from RNAcentral.